UACGUAGGGGGCUAGCGUUGUCCGGAAUCAUUGGGCGUAAAGAGCGUGUAGGCGGCCCGGUAAGUCCGCUGUGAAAGUCGGGGGCUCAACCCUCGAAUGCCGGUGGAUACUGUCGGGCUAGAGUGCGGAAGAGGCGAGUGGAAUUCCUGGUGUAGCGGUGAAAUGCGCAGAUAUCAGGAAGAACACCCGUGGCGAAGGCGGCUCUCUGGAACGCAACUGACGCUGAGACGCGAAAGCGUGGGGAGCAAACAGG
RNAcentral lists this ribosomal RNA (253 nucleotides) under uncultured bacterium. RNAcentral describes it as "partial 16S ribosomal RNA". It matches the Rfam family "Bacterial small subunit ribosomal RNA", at positions 524 to 776 of the family's 1533-position model. The record is from RNAcentral.